Molecule: transfer RNA, 85 nt
Filed under: Clostridium tetanomorphum
Lineage: Bacteria; Bacillati; Bacillota; Clostridia; Eubacteriales; Clostridiaceae
Also listed under: 1 other name
Description: tRNA-Tyr(gta)
Rfam family: tRNA
About the family: Transfer RNA (tRNA) molecules are approximately 80 nucleotides in length. Their secondary structure includes four short double-helical elements and three loops (D, anti-codon, and T loops). Further hydrogen bonds mediate the characteristic L-shaped molecular structure. tRNAs have two regions of fundamental functional importance: the anti-codon, which is responsible for specific mRNA codon recognition, and the 3' end, to which the tRNAs corresponding amino acid is attached (by aminoacyl-tRNA synthetases). tRNAs cope with the degeneracy of the genetic code in two manners: having more than one tRNA (with a specific anti-codon) for a particular amino acid; and 'wobble' base-pairing, i.e. permitting non-standard base-pairing at the 3rd anti-codon position.
Source: RNAcentral
GGAGGAAUUCCCGAGUGGCCAAAGGGGGCAGACUGUAAAUCUGUUGGUAUUACCUUCGAUGGUUCGAAUCCAUCUUCCUCCACCA